Molecule: ribosomal RNA, 510 nt
Filed under: uncultured bacterium
Lineage: Bacteria
Description: bacterial SSU rRNA
Rfam family: Bacterial small subunit ribosomal RNA
Source: RNAcentral
CCUACGGGUUGUAAAACUGCUUUUGUACGGAACGAAACGGCGAGCUCUAAUACAGUUUGCUAAUGACGGUACCGUAAGAAUAAGCACCGGCUAACUACGUGCCAGCAGCCGCGGUAAUACGUAGGGUGCGAGCGUUAAUCGGAAUUACUGGGCGUAAAGCGUGCGCAGGCGGUGAUGUAAGACAGAUGUGAAAUCCCCGGGCUCAACCUGGGACCUGCAUUUGUGACUGCAUCGCUAGAGUACGGUAGAGGGGGAUGGAAUUCCGCGUGUAGCAGUGAAAUGCGUAGAUAUGCGGAGGAACACCGAUGGCGAAGGCAAUCCCCUGGACCUGUACUGACGCUCAUGCACGAAAGCGUGGGGAGCAAACAGGAUUAGAUACCCUGGUAGUCCACGCCCUAAACGAUGUCAACUGGUUGUUGGGUCUUCACUGACUCAGUAACGAAGCUAAACGCGUGAAGUUGACCGCCUGGGGAGUACGGCCGCAAGGUUGAAACUCAAAUGAAUUGACGG